This 254-nucleotide ribosomal RNA is filed under the name uncultured bacterium. RNAcentral describes it as "partial 16S ribosomal RNA". It matches the Rfam family "Bacterial small subunit ribosomal RNA", at positions 524 to 776 of the family's 1533-position model. The record is from RNAcentral.
UACGUAGGCAGCAAGCGUUGUUCGGAGUUACUGGGCGUAAAGGGUGUGUAGGCGGUUAUUUAAGUUUGGUGUGAAAUCUCCCGGCUCAACCGGGAGGGUGCGCCGAAUACUGAAUGACUUGGAGUGCGGGAGAGGAAAGUGGAAUUCCUGGUGUAGCGGUGAAAUGCGUAGAUAUCAGGAGGAACACCGGUGGUGUAGACGGCUUUCUGGACCGUAACUGACGCUGAGACACGAAAGCGUGGGGAGCGAUCCGG